Molecule: ribosomal RNA, 284 nt
Filed under: uncultured eukaryote
Lineage: Eukaryota
Description: partial 18S ribosomal RNA
Rfam family: Eukaryotic small subunit ribosomal RNA
Source: RNAcentral
GGUUAAAAAGCUCGUAGUUGGAUUUCUGCGGGAGACGAAGGGUCUACCUUACGGGUAAGUAUCUCUCAGGCUCCUGCAACCUCAACAGGAACGUCGCUGCGAUUCAUUUCGUGGUACGGUACUGUUGACUUUUACUUUGAGGAAAUUAGAGUGUUCACGGCAAGCAAACGCGUGUAUACAUUAGCAUGGAAUAAUAAUAUAGGACCUUGGAUCUAUUUUGUUGGUUUCUAGAACUAAGGUAAUGAUAAAUAGGGACAGUUUGGGGGCAUUUGUACUACGCGUCA